Molecule: ribosomal RNA, 484 nt
Filed under: uncultured bacterium
Lineage: Bacteria
Description: bacterial SSU rRNA
Rfam family: Bacterial small subunit ribosomal RNA
Source: RNAcentral
UGGCUCAGGUAUGAGCGCUGGCGGCGUUGCUUAAUACAUGCAAGUCGGACGGAGAUUGUAGCAAUACGAUCUUAGUGGCGAACGGGUGAGUAACGCGUUGGUGACCUGCCCCGAAGAGAGGGAUAACAGAUCGAAAGGUCUGCUAAUACCACAUGUGGUCUAGUUGGUUAGAGGCGAUUAGACUGAAGGGGUAAUCCGCUUCGGGAGGGGCCUGCGUCCCAUCAGCUAGUUGGUAGGGUAAAGGCCUACCAAGGCGACGACGGGUAGGGGACCUGAGAGGGUGACCCCCCACACUGGCACUGAAACACGGGCCAGACACCUACGGGUGGCAGCAGUAGGGAAUAUUGCGACAAUGGGCGAAAGCCUGAUGCAAGCAACGCCGCGUGCGCGAUGAAGGCCUUCGGGUUGUAAAGCGCUUUUCUGGAGGACGAGCAAGGACGGUACUCCAGGAAUAAGGCUCGGCUAACUACGUGCCAGCCGCAGC